Molecule: non-coding RNA, 222 nt
Organism: Pelobates cultripes (western spadefoot toad)
Lineage: Eukaryota; Metazoa; Chordata; Amphibia; Anura; Pelobatidae
Source: the annotation of a GenBank genome assembly
GUUGUAAGUGACAUCUUACAAGUACGUGAAUCUGAUUGCUUGAGUGGAUGUGACUGGGAUAUGAGGGGAGUGAGGCUAUGGCACUGGGAGGGCAGAAGAAUAUGACCGAUUCAGAGUUUGGAGCUGGGUGGGUGGCUGGAUGUCAAUGUGUGAAUGGGUGAAAGCAGAAAGUUUGUGUGAAUGUGUCAUGUUGGGGGCGUGCAUAAAAGAUGGGAGGUAAAU